This is a long non-coding RNA of Sander lucioperca (pikeperch), 113 nucleotides long. RefSeq lists it as uncharacterized. The record is from RefSeq and is a predicted model, not a curated record. NCBI's taxonomy places the organism in Eukaryota, Metazoa, Chordata, Actinopteri, Perciformes, Percidae. The transcript has 3 exons.
AUUCUAGUCACCCAGACAGGUUCACUUACUGGUCUCAGGUCCUGAGUAGACAGAGUCUGACUGGACGCUGUUACUGGGAGGUGGAGAGGAGAGAGAGAGGAAGUGUUUAUGUA